AUAUAUAUAUAUAUAUAUAUAUAUAUAUAUAUAUAUAUAAUGUGAAACGGGAAAAUAAAUGCGUGUGGGUUGAUAAAGAACUUAAUCAUUUUAUUUCACGUAUUUCAUGGCUUUAAUUCGGGAACAAAAGAUUAACUCCUUCUUCAAGUUCACAGUUGAAUAUUAUUUGAAGGUUAAGUUGAAAAGUUGGCAACCAAUUAGGAUGCUCAAAGGGAUGUAAGGGCUCCCAUGUCCCUAUCAGAUCUGCACAAACCACAAAGUACAGUAACACCAACAGUGAAAAAUCUGACUUUUGUAAACUGACGUGAAUGUUGAUAAAACCGCUGCUUAAUGUUAAACCAAUUAGCACAUGAACAAGAGGCAGAAAGGGCAGAGGCACAUGAUGAAUGGACAAUGGCAGCUUAGAUGAGAAAUUCAAACAGGAAAUCAGAGACACGAAGCUUGUUCCAGCUUGACCUGCACCACAGUCAUAAGCCUGGAUAAUAAAGGUGUACUCCUUCUGAAUUUCACAAUCAAUUGGUCCUUUUGCUCUGAGACGCCCUUCUCCAGAUGUCUUGUUCAGCACUACAGCUUCAAAAGGAGUAUCUUGUCCAUGAAUUUUGAAUGCACAUAUUUCCCCUGGAAGAUCAAAAUGUAAAAAAAUUGUUGUUAGAAACAACUUAAAUUGUAAUUAAAGCUCUCAGUAAACAUUAAAGGACUGAUUUAUUAAAUUAUACCAGGGAAGUUACUGAUAGCAACUAACAAGCAAUUAGUAGAGUACUACAAGUUAGAAAAUGAAAGCAAAUAUCUAAUUGGUUUCUAUGAUUAAUGCACUUGAACAAGGUAAGUAAAUUAGUCAAUAAGUCUGUGACAUAAAUGUAUUCCCCCACUGCCACCAACACACGGGAGGUGUUUCCUCUGGGACCGCCACAGCAUUACCCAGAAAUUACCAAGCAAGUUACUACUAAACAUUUCCCAUUAGUAGCCAUGUGGUGGUUUUGCAAGAUGUAUCUCUAAGCUGUUUAGAAAAUACCCCAGUUCCCAGUGAUACUUUACUGUAGGCAGAUACAUUUUUUUCCAAGGAUAAACGCUAGGCAUAAUAUGCGCUCAAUUUGUGUCAAAACAAAAGUGCAAUUCAGGGCUAGACUAGGCUGGCGGGACACCAGGAAAAAAACCUGGUGGGCCCCGCCAUCCCAUACCUGAUCCUAGCAGGCCUCCCUCACCCAAUCGUGUCUGCUUAUGCACACUCAGGGGGAGGGACAGGGCACCAGCAGGGGGCCUGUGUGUGUUUGUGCGGCCCGGGGACAGAUUAGGUGCAUGCAGUGCAUGUAACUCUAAGCCCUCAUGCAACUCUGCUGGAAUAAUGGACAGAAAUGCUGCAUUAUGGGUAAAACCAUGAUGAUUUGCAUCCAAAGCUGCACUCUGCUUACUGCAAUGGCCUUUAAAACAAGCCCAAGAUUCUUAAUAUUAAUAUUCUUGCACGUGAUCAAUCUAAAAAAGCACACUUUGGAGUGCUCACAAGUGCAGCCAUGGCCCCCACACUCACGUCCAUAUAUAACACUUACAUUAAAGGUACUUGAACCAAUAUGUGCUACUUGCACUUCUGUAUAGUUGUGCUCAGCUCUGUGCAGUCCUUCCUGCCCCUUCCAUUUCAAACUGAGCACAGCUAUUACCUAUUGAUGCAGUAAAACCCUGGAGCUUCUGCCACCUCCUGACCCGGCGGUGGCUCCAGGCUUCCCUUCUCACCCAGUAUGAAUUGGUGCAGCACACGUGUGCCUAAAUAUGUGCUUAGUAAUAUUAUAUUAACAUUAUGUUAUGGGGCUGCUGUGCUGCUUUCCAUUGCCAGCUGGCCUAUGCAUCUUUAAUUACAGCCUCUGUUCAAUUCCCAAUUACUUUUUGGUAACCUUUGCUACAACAUGUCUCUCUUUUUUUUUUUUUUUUUUGUUGGUUCAGAAUGCUGUCGCCUAUCCUCAUCAACAACCUUAUACAAGGGGAGAACAACACUGAGGAUGGUAAAGACAGGGGAGGUCAGAAGGUACAUGGGGAUUGAAAGGGAUGCUGCAACUCAAUAGGCAUUGGGCUAUUGCCUGUAGGACAUCUGUAGGACAUCAGUAUCAGUGUGCAAUAUUAUUAAGAAUUAAAAACUUAGUGUGUUAGCUUCUGCUUAAGCAGUAAGCAACCUUUAUUGCUCAUUGUUUCUACCACACUAGUGUAUGAGUUUGUGUAUUGCUGAUAUGUGUGUAUUGCUGACUUGUGCAUUUUAUGCAAAUGAUUCUAAUUAAAUGUUCAUCAAACAUCUACUAAAAUUAAAAAUUUCCUUGUUCCACCACUUGAUUUCAUACUUGGCUUUAGGAUCCAAUAAAUAUGUGCAUAAGAUUGCUUCCUUGCUUAAA
Xenopus tropicalis (tropical clawed frog) is the source of this 2372-nucleotide long non-coding RNA. RefSeq lists it as uncharacterized. The record is from RefSeq and is a predicted model, not a curated record. The transcript is spliced from 5 exons. Lineage: Eukaryota; Metazoa; Chordata; Amphibia; Anura; Pipidae.